Molecule: non-coding RNA, 285 nt
Organism: Paramuricea clavata
Lineage: Eukaryota; Metazoa; Cnidaria; Anthozoa; Malacalcyonacea; Plexauridae
Source: the annotation of a GenBank genome assembly
GUUGAAAAUUUUUACUUGUUAAACGGCCCACAAAUAGUAAACAGAAAACACCCGUAUCCGUUUGUAUUUUGAGUGUAGACCAUGGUUUACCGUGGGGAAACGGGUAGAAAUUACAGGUAAAAAUGCUGACAUCAGCAAAAAUUGGUAAACAAAAUGGCGAUACUCGUACCCGUAAAACGGAACCGGGGUAUCUUAACCUCUCUAAUGGAAAAUCCAGGGGAGGGGUGUAAAAAAGGCCUUGGAAAUUCCAGGGAGAGGGGUGAAAAAGACUGCAGAAAUCCAGGG